CUAGGGAUUAGCAGGCACUCCUGCAGCUUUCGGCGCCGCAGGAGUUGAACUUAUGGAAGUUAUGGCGCCAACGUUUGUCCGUUUGUCACAACGCUAACGAUAACUGUCAAACAGUGCGCGGAGUUUUGAUCCGUGCGUUUGUUAACGCGAUUGCCGCUGCAACUGCACUUACCUCGUCGUGGACGGACAUCCUCUUUAUCGCAGCAUCAAUGCCUUCCCAGUCGGAGUUGAUGUCCUCAGCGAGGAGAGCGAGUGAUCACUGGAAUUCACCUGCUCCUGUUCUGUGUCCUACCAAAGAUGAAAGUGCGCAUUACAGUCAUCUAAAUACAGAAUGUGCCACGCCUACUCUGCCUUGGCACUUUUAG
Molecule: long non-coding RNA, 365 nt
Organism: Dermacentor andersoni
Lineage: Eukaryota; Metazoa; Arthropoda; Arachnida; Ixodida; Ixodidae
Source: RefSeq, a predicted model, not a curated record